Molecule: ribosomal RNA, 119 nt
Filed under: Lepisosteus oculatus (spotted gar)
Lineage: Eukaryota; Metazoa; Chordata; Actinopteri; Semionotiformes; Lepisosteidae
Source: RNAcentral
CGCAGCAGCCAUAUCACCCUGCAACUCACAACUGGCAGCCCACUGGAGCUCAGCAGGUGUGAGCCUGGCCAGUACCUGGAUGGGAGACCUCCUGGGAAAAACUAAGGUUGCUGCUGGAA